CUGUUGCAUAAUUCUUGUUUUGCAGUGUUGUCACCAUUCAUGUUCAGGGAAAAGAUCUAAAAUCUGGAGCAACCUCACAUGGAAGUCUGCAUUUGGUAGAUCUUGCUGGUAGUGAAAGAGUUGACAGGUCUGAAGCAACUGGAGAUAGGUUGAGGGAAGCAUAGCAUAUCAAUAAAUCACUAUCAGCUUUAGGGGAUGUUAUCUUUUCACUUUCUCAGAAAAACCCCCAUGUACCUUACAGAAAUAGCAAGCUUACGCAGGUUCUUCAAGCGUCUCUAGGUGGUCGAGCAAAGACACUUAUGUUUGUUCAGGUUAAUCCUGAUGUUAGUUCGUACUCUGAAUCAUUAAGCACUUUAAAGUUUGCUGAAAGGGUGUCCGGUGUUGAGCUGGGUGCUGCUCGGAGUAGCAAAGAGGGCAGAGAUGUCAGAGAAUUAAUGGAUCAGUGACUGCUUUCACUUCUGAUUCUGAGCGGCUAUUCAGGAUGCCUGCUGCAGACCUCUUCCGCAUCAAACACACAGAUUUUCUCCAAGCAUUGGUACUAUAAUAUAUGCUUUGCUUCAGGAAGUGAUUACACUUAUUGGAGCAACUUUAAUCGACAGAGUAGGAAGAAAGCCAAUGCUCUUGGUAUAUACUCCGAGGAAUGCGCCUUAUGCUAGUGAGGAAUUGAUGUGGUUCGUGAGCAAUUGGCUAACUUUUUUACCAGCAAGUAUUUAUUAUUGGCCUGAGCGCGCUUGGUCGAGUUGUUUGAUAUUAAAAUGUAUGCGUACGUUGAAAUUGGAACGAACAAAUAUUUAAAUGUAGUACUUGCACUUUGGAUUUGGGAUAUAUUAAUAUACAAAACAACAGUUAUUGUUUUUAUAUUUGUUAUACAGGUUGCGAUAUUCUAUUA
Molecule: long non-coding RNA, 889 nt
Organism: Spinacia oleracea (spinach)
Lineage: Eukaryota; Viridiplantae; Streptophyta; Magnoliopsida; Caryophyllales; Amaranthaceae
Exons: 6
Source: RefSeq, a predicted model, not a curated record